GGAGCCCAGAGCGCAGAGCCAGCCGAAGGCGCCGCGCCGGCUCGGGCUCCGCCGCCGACACCCGGCUGCUGAGGUCGCCGCGAGGGUUCGGGGACGCCUGCUCACUGCGUGGCUUCUCCCGGCCAGCUGUGCAGGCGGCUGGACCAGCAGCAGCGGCGAGGACUCGAGCGCGGGCUGCAGCAGCGACACCAUGGACCUGUCCUUUAUGGCCGCACAGCUGCCCAUGAUGGGAGGCGCCUUCAUGGACUCGCCCAACGAGGACUUCAGCACUGAGUACUCCCUCUUCAACUCCUCCAACAACGUCCACGCCGCCUCCAACGGCCAGGGCCAGCCGGAGGAGCCCCCGAGGUCCUCCAACGACGCCGUCCUGCUCUGGAUCGCCAUCAUAGCGACGCUGGGGAACAUCGUGGUGGUGGGGGUGGUGUAUGCCUUCACCUUCUGAGCCGCGGGAGCUCCGGGACGGCUCACCCCGCCUCGGGCUCACAGCCGGGCGCGGUCACCUUGGCCCCUGGCCGCACCCACGUUCUAGAACCAGGCGCGUCUGGAUGUUCCCCCAGCAGCCCUGAUCUCAGAUCCUCCACGCUGUGGUCCAGCUGAUCCAGACGAUAAGGGGGCACGGGUUUCCAGCUCCUGGAGACAUGAGGGGGCCAAGCCUUAGAGGAGCAGAGUGGGGAGUUCUUGAAAGUGCAUUCCAAGGACAUGCGGCUGGAGGGAACGGCCAGUUUGGUUUGAUGACACGGAUAUGGUUGGAUGAUCAGUUGCUGGAAGACAGCGGUCACCGCUGUGUCUUCUUUUGAUGCAGACUUCUCACACCUGAGCGUGAGGGCGCGUGCAGCCCUCCAAACUGGAGUGUGCUUGCCCCCGUCUGGUGUCCUGAUCAGCCCCUCGGAAUAUUGGUGGCAGUCCCUUGAAGGGACCUAGAACAUUCUUCACUUGACUUAGAAAUGGCAACGUUGUUAUCAGACACCUGACCCUUUGUGAAACCCAAGGAUGAGGGGUUACUGGUGACGUGGAUUUUGGGGGUGGUGGUAGCAGUGGUUUUUAUCUGUGGGGUGGACACUCUUCUUUUGAAAGAGAGCAGAAGGUUACCUUGAAAAAUUAGAUCUGCCAAGCCGAUACCUCUCUGGCCACCUGCCGAAGAUGCUCUUUCUUCUCUGAGAAAUCACAGAGCUUUAGAGAUGAAGGAGGCAUGUGUGCACCUCGUUGUUUGGCAGGGAGAGGAGGAGGGGCAGGGCUGCCUGUGGUCCCAGGCACAUUAAGGCAGGGAUCAGAGUGGGAGGGAUAUUUUCUGCCUGUCCUCUCUCAGGGCUGCCUGUGUCCCAGCUAAGCGCUGUCUGGAUCAGAUUCCUGGCUCUCAGCUGCCUUGAGGAGCCUAUCCAGAGGGUCCUGAAGCUGUGAGCAGGGUGGGCGGGGCGCUAAGACACCCUCGUGCUAGACUCAGUUUGGCUACUGUAUGUUCUUGCAGGGGUGAGUCGGUUUUCUGACUCGCUUGGAAGUCAGUGGCUGGGGGGCUGCAAAUCUGGGAGCCGCCUCACUGUUGAGACCAGAGCAGGUUGGGAUGUGCCAGGGCCAGGGUGGGGGCAGAGGAGGGGGAGUGGGCAGGAUCAGAACAGGCUCACUUCUCAUCCAUCCUCAGGCAAGUUCAGGGCCCAGAGCCCCGCUUCUUGAGACAGCCCUCCCUGUGCCCCCAAGGGCGCCAGGAGCUCAGACAUGGGCUCGCUUGCCCACAGGCCAGGCGCGGGUUUUUCCCUGGCUUCCUCCCUGCGCUGCACAAAAGAAAAGAGAUGGCAGAGUUCCCGCGGUGGCUCACUAGGUUAAGAACCCACCUAGUAUCCCUGAGGAUGUGGGUUUAAUCCCUGGCCUCGCUCAGUGGGUUAAGCAUUCAGCUUUGCUUCAGGCUGUGGUGUAGGUCACAGAUGUGGCUCAGAUCUGGCGUUGCUGUGACUGCGGCCCAGGCCAGCAGCCGCAGCUCCAAUUCCACCCCACCCCAGCCUGGAAACUUCCAUAAGCCUCGGGUGUCACCGUAAAAAGAAAAAAGAAAAAAGAAAUAAAAUAGAUGGCACGAACUCCCUCUCUGUAGCUGACAAAGUUAAAAGACUGGUAAAGAAAGCCUAAUGCAUAUUCGGAGACAGUGGCCAAAAGGCUGAAUUUCUCCCUGUGGCCUCAGGAGAAAUGAGUGUCCUUGUUGACAGGCAAAGGGACAUCUGAAUUGUCCAGAGGCAGCGACUCGUCCCUGGAAGCCUGGCGCUGAGCUGCUGUGAUAACAGGAUUAUCAGCCCGACCUCCAGACAGCACUGGCAAAGGCUGCCAGCUCCUCUGGGCCGCAUCUGUCACUGCCGCCUAUGUCCCUCUGCACACGCCUCAGCCCCAGGAGCAGUCAUAAGCAUAGAGAGCUAGCGUGACCUCUGCGGAGCACAAGGAGGGAUGUGGCCCCCUCUUCCUGGACUCCUUCUGGAAUCACUAAUGGGCCCUGCUGUCUGCAGGCGGGACAGGGUGGUGGCCGUGGCGAGCAUGGUCAGGUGUUUUAGGGACCUUCUUGUCCAAACGUGCCCUCACGGGGAUCUCAGUGACCUGCUCAAAGUCCCUCCAGCCCCAGCUCCAGUGGUUUCUUUAACUCGUUCCCCAGUCGCUCAAGGAACAGGAUCACAGGG
RNAcentral lists this long non-coding RNA (2651 nucleotides) under Sus scrofa (pig). Its description in RNAcentral is "lncRNA (ENSSSCG00045008081.1)". The record is from RNAcentral. Lineage: Eukaryota; Metazoa; Chordata; Mammalia; Artiodactyla; Suidae.